This 360-nucleotide long non-coding RNA is filed under the name Amborella trichopoda. Its description in RNAcentral is "long non-coding RNA (ATRI_LNC004143)". Lineage: Eukaryota; Viridiplantae; Streptophyta; Magnoliopsida; Amborellales; Amborellaceae. The record is from RNAcentral.
GCUGGAUGGUAGCGGAGGAUAGAAAUUCUAUGCUGUUGGGGCAGCAUAGAAACCUUUUCCUCAACUCCAGCGCCCAAUCUGUUUUUUAAAGCUAACCCUCCCAUUCCUUUCCUUGAACCCCCACCCUCUCUCCACCUUAUCUCUCACCCCCUCUCUCUCUACCUUAUUUCUCACCCCCUCUCUCUCUACCUUAUUUCUCACCCCCUCUCUCUCUUCCUUCUAUCCAAACCCUCACUCUCUCGUUCGCUCUCACACAGACUUUCUCUCUCUAACAUUCUUUCCCUCUAUCCAAACCCUCACUCUCUCGUUCGCUCUCACACAGACUUUCUCUCUCUAACAUUCUUUCCCUCUGGUUUUUGC